Molecule: ribosomal RNA, 2489 nt
Filed under: human gut metagenome
Description: bacterial LSU rRNA
Rfam family: Bacterial large subunit ribosomal RNA
Source: RNAcentral
AGGGUGCAGGGCGGAUGCCUUGGCACUAGGAGCCGAUGAAGGACGUGAUAAGCUGCGAUAAGCUUCGGGGAGUUGCACGUAAACUUUGAUCCGAAGAUUUCCGAAUGAGGAAACUCACUUAGAGUAAUGUCUAAGUAUCAUUAAGUGAAUACAUAGCUUAAUGAGGGGAACUCAGGGAACUGAAACAUCUAAGUACCUGAAGGAAGAGAAAGAAAUUCGAUUCCGUAAGUAGCGGCGAGCGAACGCGGAUUAGCCCAAACCAAUAAAGUUUUCUUUAUUGGGGUUGCGGACAUAUCAUAACGAAGAGGUAUCGUAAUUGAAGAGGUUUGGAAAGACCCACCACAGAAGGUAAUAGUCCUGUAUGUUAAACGAGAAGACUUUAGAUAUGAUCCAGAGUACCACGGGACACGUGAAACCCUGUGGGAAGCAGGAGGGACCACCCUCCAAGGCUAAAUACUACCUAGUGACCGAUAGCGUAUAGUACCGUGAGGGAAAGGUGAAAAGAACCCCGGGAGGGGAGUGAAAUAGAACCUGAAACCCUGCACUUACAAGCUGUGGGAGCACAUUACUUGUGUGACCGCGUACUUUUUGUAGAACGGGCCAACGAGUUACGUUAAGUAGCAAGGUUAAGCACUUAAGGUGCGGAGCCGUAGCGAAAGCGAGUUUUAACUGAGCGUUCAGUUACUUGACGUAGACCCGAAACCGGGCGACCUACCCAUGAGCAGGAUGAAGCGAAAGUAAAAUUUCGUGGAGGACCGAACCCACGAGCGUUGAAAAGCUCGGGGAUGACUUGUGGAUAGCGGUGAAAUUCCAAUCGAGCCCGGAGAUAGCUGGUUCUCCCCGAAAUAGCUUUAGGGCUAGCCUCAAGGUGAGAGAUACGGAGGUAGAGCACUGAAUGUCCUAGGGGGUAUUGCACCUACCGAAGACUAUCAAACUCCGAAUGCCGUCAUCUUAUACUUGGGAGUCAGACUGUGGGUGAUAAGAUUCAUAGUCGAAAGGGCAACAGCCCAGAUCGUCAGCUAAGGUCCCUAAAUGUAAGUUAAGUGGUAAAGGAUGUGGGAUUGCACAGACAACCAGGAUGUUGGCUUAGAAGCAGCCACUCAUUCAAAGAGUGCGUAAUAGCUCACUGGUCGAGUGAUCCUGCGCCGAAGAUUUCCGGGGCUAAAACUUACUACCGAAGCUACGGCAUCAGUAAUGAUGGGUAGGGGAGCUUCCCAUACGGGUUGAAGCAUGACCGUAAGGACAUGUGGACAGUAUGGGAGUGAGAAUGUUGGCAUGAGUAGCGAGAUGUGGGUGAGAAUCCCACAGGCCGUAAACCCAAGGUUUCCAGGGGAAGGUUCGUCCGCCCUGGGUUAGUCGGGACCUAAGCCGAGGCCGAAAGGCGUAGGUGAUGGACAACAGGUUGAUAUUCCUGUACUACCGAUAACCGUUUGAGAGAAGGGAUGACACAGUAGGAUAAGCUAAGCACACUGUUGGUUAUGUGUGCCCAAGCAUUGAGGCAGUCAAAGUAGGCAAAUCCGCUUUGAUAAUGCUGGGAUGUGAUGGGGAGCGAAAUUUAGUAGCGAAGUAGCUGAUUUCACACUGUCAAGAAAAGUCUCUAUCGAGGUUAAAGGUACCCGUACCGCAAACCGACACAGGUGGGUGAGGAGAGUAUCCUAAGGCCAGCGAGAGAACUGUUGUUAAGGAACUCGGCAAAAUGACCCCGUAACUUAGGGAUAAGGGGUGCCACCAUCAGGUGGCCGCAGAGAAUAGGCCCAAGCGACUGUUUACCAAAAACAUAGGUUUCUGCUAAGUCGCAAGACGAUGUAUAGGAGCUGACGCCUGCCCGGUGCUGGAAGGUUAAGGGGAUCUGUUAGAGCAAUCGAAGCAGUGAACUUAAGCCCCAGUAAACGGCGGCCGUAACUAUAACGGUCCUAAGGUAGCGAAAUUCCUUGUCGGGUAAGUUCCGACCCGCACGAAAGGCGUAACGAUUUGGGCACUGUCUCAACAACAGACUCGGUGAAAUUGUAAUUCCGGUGAAGAUGCCGGAUACCUGCGACAGGACGGAAAGACCCCAUGGAGCUUUACUGUAGCUUGACAUUGGGUCUUGGUACUACAUGUACAGGAUAGGUGGGAGGCUUUGAAACCAGGACGCCAGUUUUGGCGGAGCCAUCCUUGGGAUACCACCCUUGUAGUACUGGGACUCUAACCAUAGGCCAUGAAUCUGGUCUUGGGACACUGUCAGGUGGGCAGUUUGACUGGGGCGGUCGCCUCCCAAAAGGUAACGGAGGCGCUCAAAGGUUCUCUCAGUACGGUCGGAAAUCGUACGUAGAGUGUAAAGGCAAAAGAGAGCUUGAUUGCAAGACAUACAGGUCGAGCAAGGAUGAAAAUCGGACUUAGUGAUCCGGUGGUUCUGCGUGGAAGGGCCAUCGCUCAACGGAUAAAAGCUACCCUGGGGAUAACAGGCUUAUCUCCCCCAAGAGUCCACAUCGACGGGGAGGUUUGGCACC